RNAcentral lists this ribosomal RNA (519 nucleotides) under uncultured Glomus. RNAcentral's name for it is "SSU rRNA". It matches the Rfam family "Eukaryotic small subunit ribosomal RNA", at positions 569 to 1092 of the family's 1831-position model. The record is from RNAcentral. Lineage: Eukaryota; Fungi; Glomeromycota; Glomeromycetes; Glomerales; Glomeraceae.
AGCAGCCGCGGUAAUUCCAGCUCCAAUAGCGUAUAUUAAAGUUGUUGCAGUUAAAAAGCUCGUAGUUGAAUUUCGGGAUCAAUUUAUUGGUCGUGCUAUCGUACGUACUGGUAUUAUUGAUUCCUACCUUCUGACGAACCAUGAUGUCAUUAAUUUGGUGUCAUGGGGAAUCAGGACUGUUACUUUGAAAAAAUUAGAGUGUUUAAAGCAGGCUCACGCUUGAAUACAUUAGCAUGGAAUAACGAAAUAGGACGUUUGAUUCUAUUUUGUUGGUUUCUAGGAUCGACGUAAUGAUUAAUAGGGAUAGUUGGGGGCAUUAGUAUUCAAUUGUCAGAGGUGAAAUUCUUGGAUUUAUUGAAGACUAACUACUGCGAAAGCAUUUGCCAAGGAUGUUUUCAUUAAUCAAGAACGAAAGUUAGGGGAUCGAAGACGAUCAGAUACCGUCGUAGUCUUAACCAUAAACUAUGCCGACUAGGGAUCGGAUGAUGUAAUUUUUAAUGACUCAUUCGGCGCCUUAAC